CGAAGCUCUCAGCAGCAGAGCACCAUUGCUCAUUACACACCGUCUGUCUUUCUAUCUGCCUUAGCAUUCUCUGCUUUGCUACCGGCCCCGGCGUGAGUGAAAUUAUCUUCGAUUUCGAGCAAGGGGAUCAGAGAAACUUCUGCAUGGAGGGAGCGGUGGGUUAGAUAUAUAUGCCCAACCCUCAUGGUUUCCUUCUUCUUCUGAUGCUGCUGCUGCUGCUGGUGGUGGUGGUGGUGAAUGGUGAUACAAGUUACUACACAUGGUUUCUUUGGAUAUCAAGGUCAAAAUGGACGAUUACCCAAUACAUCUGCUGAUACACGGUUUUGAGGAUGCCCCCAGAAAGCUGAUUGAUCAUCUCUCAGAGUCAUAUGAUAAUCAGGCAGCUAAAUCAUUCUUCUUGGCUGGCUGGUACAGUGAAGGUGUAGGAGCCUCUGCUGUUCUUAAGGCACAGCCAAACUCCUGAAAUCGAGAAGAAGUGAUCCUGACACAAGAAAGCAUUUUGGCAAAAUUAUCCAUGUAGACUGCUCUCUAUGGAAAAGUAGAAGAUCCUUGCAGAGGGCAAUCGUGGAGGAGUUAAAUCUUGGCCAUUUACUGCCCAUGUUUGAUAAGGAGGAUGAGGAUGAUGAUUUUAGAGGGAUAAAGAUCGGCUCUAGACUAGAGAUACCACGCAUCGGAAGUGAGAUCAACGCGUCUCUAAGAAAUGAAAGAUUUCUGAUGAUUUUUCAUUAUGGGGGAGAAGAAGUCAUUGAUCUAGCAGAGUAUGGCAUUCCUAAUCCUGAAUUUGGGACAUAUGCUUUAGGGCAACUGCUAUGGAGUGGUUAUGGAAGAUUUCAACUCUCAGAGAGAAAAGACAAGUUAAAGUAAGUUCUGCAUUUUUUUUCC
Long non-coding RNA from Triticum aestivum (bread wheat), 882 nucleotides. RefSeq lists it as uncharacterized. NCBI's taxonomy places the organism in Eukaryota, Viridiplantae, Streptophyta, Magnoliopsida, Poales, Poaceae. The record is from RefSeq and is a predicted model, not a curated record. The transcript is spliced from 3 exons.